RNAcentral lists this ribosomal RNA (254 nucleotides) under uncultured prokaryote. RNAcentral describes it as "partial 16S ribosomal RNA". It matches the Rfam family "Bacterial small subunit ribosomal RNA", at positions 524 to 776 of the family's 1533-position model. The record is from RNAcentral.
UACGUAGGGGGCAAGCGUUGUCCGGAUUUAUUGGGCGUAAAGAGCGUGUAGGCGGCCAGAUAGGUCGGUUGUGAAAACUGGAUGGCUCAACCUCCAGACGUCGACCGAAACCAUCCGGCUAGAGUCCGGAAGAGGAGAAUGGAAUUCCUGGUGUAGCGGUGAAAUGCGCAGAUAUCAGGAAGAACACCCGUGGCGAAGGCGGUUCUCUGGGACGGUACUGACGCUGAGACGCGAAAGCGUGGGGAGCGAACAGG